This is a small nuclear RNA of Trichosurus vulpecula (common brushtail), 104 nucleotides long. NCBI's taxonomy places the organism in Eukaryota, Metazoa, Chordata, Mammalia, Diprotodontia, Phalangeridae. The record is from RefSeq and is a predicted model, not a curated record.
GUUCUGGCUUUGGCAGCACACAUACUAAAAUUGGAAUGAUACAGGGAUUAGCAUGGCCCCUGCAUGAGAAUGACACACAUAUUAAUGAAAUGUUCCAUAGUUUU